AAUCCUGCCGUCGGCUUAAGAGCUGAGAGGGCGACGCUCACGCUGAGCCCCCGGCAGCCAGUGCACCAGCCCGACCGCAUGCGCCGGGCAGUCUUUCACGGAGGCGGGCUCUAGGCGGUGCGCACGCAGAGGCGGGGGGCGGGGUGGGGGCGCGGGCCCGCCCCAGGGCGGGACCUGGGUGCGCCGGCGCCAGGGUCCGGAGUGCGCCGGCGCAAGGCCGGCGUGCUUUGCUAGUAGUGCUGCCUGCUUCUCCGGAUCAAUUUCCCAGCGCUGCUGUCGCCCGGCAGACGCAAGAGGGAAGGCCAAGACGGCGGCUGGGCGCUGGCUCCUUCCUCAUCUGAUGGGAGUAAGAAUGAGAGAAGCAGAAAGAAAAGCCGGUGUGAAAGCCUCAGUCGCCCAGCCGAGUUGGAGGCCAGUGUCGCUGCAUUGGAGAGAGCCAAAAGAAGAGAAAUCAAUACGGCGUGGCCACACUGCGCAGAGCAUUAUAGACCAAGGCUUUUCUUUCCCCCUAAGGGCAGUGGAAAGCCAUAGAAAGUUUUUUGAGGAGGCGGCUUGGUUUUGCUUUGAAUAGUGAAUAUAUGUUUUUUUCUCCAAACACUAUACAAGUGUAUACUUAAAAAGUAAGUCUCUGCAUGCCAGUGUUCUGUUUUCUUCCUUAGAAGCAGUUUGUCACAAGUUCUUGUAUACCAUCAUUGAGGGAUGUAAAGGAAAGGUGUGACAUGAUCAGACUUGUGUUUCAGGAAAAUGACUCAACCAAAUGGAUUCCAAGAAACCAGUUAGGAGAUUUCUGCAAUGGCCCCAAAGAGAGGCUUCUGGCUUCUUCUGUCUGAAUCACCACUUCUCCUGCUCUGCAAGCUGCACUCAGCUCCAGACCUAAAACAUGCUUCGGGUGUUUUACAGCCACACUUCUUUCAAGAAACAUUUGGUGUUUAUCAAAGUGCCUGGGACAUGAUAAACACUGAGAACAUACUUGUCGAAGUAACGAAGGAGCUGUAGAAGAUAUAAAAUUAGCCCCUCACUUAGCCACUCUACUGGGUGACCACUUUACCCUUUCCUCUCCUUCUGUAAACCUCUACUCUCAGCAGAUGGUCUCGCUUCCUAUUUCAUUGAGAAAAUAGAAGCCAUCAAGAGAACUUCCUUGAGCUCCCACCACCCUAUCCAUCAACCUACUUUUGUCUGUGCAUACAAGCUCUGCCUUGUCUUCUGUGCUGUGGACAAACUGUCCAUGAGCCUCUUCUCUUUGCUUCAAGUGCCAUAUCCUCUCAUCAAUUCAAGAAUGUCCCGCUAGUAGUUCUCCCCUCCUGCAUCAUCGAUUUUCCCUCUCUCCUAGAUCACUUCCACUAACAUGAUGCAGUUUCUCCCAUCUUAAAACAAAACCCCUCCCUUGACUGUACGUAAUUCUCUGGCUAUCCCUCCAUUUCUCUGUGCCCCUUUUCAACACAACUCCUAGAAAAUGUUAUUUAUGCUUGCUGUCUCCAAUUUCUUCCCUCUCUCUUGAACUCAUUCUGUCAGGCUGUUGCUCAGGUAAUUCCACUGAAACUGCUCUUGUCAAAAAUUAACUUCUACCUUCCCCCACCUCGUCUCUAUACCAGCCUAGACUCACAAGCCCCAGAUAAAGACACCAGUGUGGCUGCGUAUGCAUGAUGUGAGUGUGUGUGUGUGUAUUUGCAUAUUUGGGCAGCUCCUCUCACCCACCUUGAGCUCACAGACUCCCUGUGGACUUCUGGGUGCAACCAUCCUGUCCCCACAUCCUGCCCCAAACUUACUACUUCGCUAACAGUAUUUGUCACAGCUUGGUCACUCCUUCCUUAAAAUGUGUUCUUUACUUGGUUUCUAGGAAACCACUUUCUCAGUUUUUCUCCUAUUUCAUAGGCCUCUCCUUCUGCAUCUACUUUCCUAGAUCCUUUCCGCCUCCUGACCUCUAAACAUCGGUAUGCCUCAAGGCUCAGAAGAUCCCUUCUCCACCUAUAAUCAUUCUCUGGAUGAUCUCAUUCAGGCUUUAAAUACCAGACUUUAAAUACUAGGCUUUAAAUACCAUCUGUAUCCUGACAACUCACAAAUUUGUAUUUCCAGCCUAGACCUCUCUCCUUAUCUCCAGUUUUGGGGCCCUUCUAAGCACGA
Delphinapterus leucas (beluga whale) is the source of this 2121-nucleotide long non-coding RNA. NCBI's taxonomy places the organism in Eukaryota, Metazoa, Chordata, Mammalia, Artiodactyla, Monodontidae. The record is from Ensembl.